UACGAUUUUCAUAUUACUCGCUUAUUGGUUUUUAUCGCCUUUGGUUUUCUCUGCAGAUUAGGGUUCUUCGCUUCUUUGGUUUGAUCGGUUAUUUGUGUUUGUCGUUUCCAUUAUUUAGGUUAUUAUUAUUAUUCGCCGUCGAUAUGAAUUCAAUCAUCGGAGAUUAUCUGCCGUAUGUUUUUUCCUCUUCCGCGAUUCCGCCUGAUUGUGAAUCUUAUUCGAUUUUGUUUGGAUUUUUUUGCCGGUCUAACAGUCGAAUCUUCUUGGAUCCUCCGAUGAAAGUUUUUUCCUCUUUGCGGAACCGUCCGAUUGUGAUUCCGGUUUGAUUUUUCUUUCGGUGAUUUUGAUCCGGCGAGGUAAUUAGGUAUGGUGUCCGGUUUAUGCAUCAAUACGUGGAUUAUUAUCCUGCGUUUGUGUUUGCGUUUGGAUUUUGUUUCUCUUGCUAGGGUUUCGCAAUCAGCUGAUUUGAAUUUUUUUGAGGAACCUGGUUAAAAUACGAUUCUUUGUAGAAGAAAGCGCUUCAGAUCUGAGUAUGUUCUCCCCCUUGUCGUAAUUGUGCUUAUAUAACGAUUGUGGUGUUCUGUUCUUCUGGCAAGGUUGGUUUCCGAAUAAGGUGUUUUGGCUGAUUCUAAGCAGAGUUUCUGGUACAAGUAUCUUCCUUUUGAUCUUCUUAUACGAGUGUUCACAACCUAUUUUUCUCGUCUGAAGAAUCUUCUACCUCUUCUGCUGAUUAAAAUUUGAUUCUCCUUUUGAUAUAUGUGCAUUCUCGACGCUGGUUUUCGACUGUGUUGAUCCGCAGGUGCGGUAAUAAAGUAGGACUGUCUGCCCUGAGAUCCCCGUCACCUCCGGAAAUUGUUCAAUCUUUUGUUCCCUCCCUCGUCCUCCUCACCUCUCUAAUUUUUAGAUCAUAAUUCUUUUGUUUUUUAAUAUCUAAUUUUUCAGAUACUGUACUGCUUUUCCUUCUUGUUUGCAGAAAUUUGCAUCAAAUAUUGUGGUGGUCGUCCUACUAUUUGGUACUUUCUGGUUUUGUGGUUUUAGGAAGGUCGUGCUUGUUUCGUCUUUAUUUUCUGAAGCUACUAACUGUGCAACUAGGACGAUGUAUCUGUUACGUUGAAUCUGAUUGGAUAGGAGCUUAUGAACUUGCAUACCGUGGAUAGGAUCACCAGUCUUAAUCUAGAGAUUUCAGUUGGAUCUGAUAAUGGGGAAGAUUAUAUAUAUUUUGUGAUUUAUUUGGCUUAUGGAUCUUUCUUUUGAUUCUGAUUAUGUAAUAUGUUGAUCAGUGGGUGCUAGGAGAGUCUACGCUGAGAUGUGACUUUGUCAGUUCCAGAUAUUUCUGAUGCCAAUUUGUAUUUUCUCAUGUAAUCAUUAUCCUGACUAAUUCAGUUUUCAGAUUUUUACUUUAUUUGACCACAUAUUUUCAAGUCUUAUUUCAGAUUCCCUGUUUUUCUUUUGGUGAGUUUGAUGGCAUGGUAUGAUGUUUGUAUAUGUAAUAUGUUGUCUAUUUUCCAGUGGUUUGGGUUCCGAUUGUGUUUUCUCUUGUCCGGGUCAGAUGGUAGAAGAAAAUGCUUCAAGUUCAAGUGUGUUCGCCUUAUCGUGAUUUUGCUUAUAUGACAGUUUCGUUUGAAGUUCUAAGAAGUUUGGUUACCACAUGAGGUGUUUAGCUAAGGCAAAUCAGAGUACCUGGUACAUUUUUUUACUGUAAAAGAGUCUCUACCUGAUAAAUCGUACUCUCGUUUGGAGUAUCUUCUCUUCUUUCUGCUGUAUUAACAACAACAACAAAGUGCAAUAUGCUAUUCUCGACUUUUGGCUUAGACUGUGUUGAUCAACAGGUGGUGAUGAAAUAGGUGGCUGAGAUGUGACUUGUCAGAUACAGAUAUUGAUCUUUUUUAUGCUAGGUUUAUAUUAACAUUGUGCCUCUUUGUAAUUAUCCUUAUCACCCAUAUUCUAGAUUUGUAUGAACUUUAAAAUUUGUCAUCAUAUCCCUGCUCUGCUUUUCCUCUCAAUUUGCAGAAAGUUGCGAUAAAAUUUUUGGUGGAUGUCCUUCCAUUCGGUAUCUUUUGUUUUGUGUAUUUUAGGGGGUCUGGCAGUUCUUUAUUUUCUUAAUAAUAAAUUUCUAGAGCUUAUGGAUCUGGGUUGGAGCUUAUGUUAUCUCGGUCCUUUGGACAGGGUCACCCAUUGCUUCAACAAAAGAUGGAUUAGUGCAGUUGGAUCUGAGAUUUGGAGUUUUAUUAACUGACGACAUAAUGGGGAAGAUAAUUUAAUUUCUGAUUUAUUUAUCUCAUGGAAAUUUUCUUGCAUCUGGUUGCAAAGAUGUGUUGAUCUUCAGGUGCUGGCUUAGUGAGUUUUCUCCGAGAUGCGUCGCCAGUGUUUCAAGAAUAGUAUUUUCUUAUGUCCCCUCAACCAUACCUCCUCUUAGUCCAAUUUUCAGAUUAUUACUUUAUACAGCCAUAUUGUUUGCAAAUCUAUCUUCAAAUCCUCUGUUCUUCUUUUCCUUUCUAUUUGCAGACAUUUGCAACAAAAAUGAUGGAUCCUUCUGUUUUGAGGUUUAAAAGGAAGUUUUGCCAAGUUCCUUCUUAAUUUUUUAAAACCGACUCUGCAACUGGAUUAGUAAAUUUGAAUUUUACAGUGCUUAUGUACCCUUGGGACAGGAUAGGAUCACCUAAUGGAGUCGGAUAAACUGGAUAUUCCAUUUCUUUUGCUCAUUGCAUGCAGUUGGAUAUGGGGUUUGUAACGUGAUCGAACAUCAAUGCAGUUGGGCCUGGGGUUUAGAGUCUUGUCUUAAAAGCUGCUUAUGGAUCGUGAGAUAAUGGGGAAGAUAAAUCUAAUUUUGCGAUCUAAAUCUCUUAUUUUGUGUUAAUACCCUCUCCAUACCUGGGUUGUUUUAUUCUGUCUUGUCGGUUAAAUGCAGUUGGAUUGGAGGUUUACAGUCGUAUCUUAAAGCUAUGGGAACAAGAAAUAACGGGGAAGAUAAUCUAAUUUGUGGUUUAUUUAUUUUAUAAGCUAAUACAGCCCUCUCCACCUGGAUUUUCUAUUCUCUAUUGUCUAUGACAUGCAGUUAGUUAAUGGUUUGGAGUCUGUCUGAAGCCACCGAUGGGACAAAGAGAUAACGUGGAAGAUAACUAAUUUUUUGGUUUGCUUAUUUCAUAGGAGUUCUAUUACUUGUCUGCUAAUUUCCCCUCCCUACCUGGAUGUUUCGUUGUCUUGUCAAUUGAUUGCAGUUGGAUCCAAGUUUAGUAUCCUACCUUAAAAGCUAUUGUUGGCAUCGCGACAUAAUGGGGAAGAUGAUAUAAUUUUUUAUUUAGUUGUUUCCUAGGAAUUUUAUCACCCUUUUGUGUAUUAAUGCCCCUUAUUAUGUAGAUAUUUUACUUCGUCUUGUCUGGUAAAUGCAGUGGUAAAUGCUGUUGGAUCUGAGGUUUAUAGUUUUAUCUUAAAAGCUGCUGAUGGGAACGAGACAUAAUGGGGAAGAUAAUAUAAUUUGUCAUCUAUUUAUUUCAAAGGCUGCCAAUGCCUUAUUUUGUGCUGAUACCCCUUUACGACAUGGAUGAUUUACUUCUGUUUUAUCGGUUAAAUGCAGUUUGGAUUGGAGGUUUAGAGUCGUGUCUUAAAGCUAUGGGACUGAAAAUUAACGGGGAAGACUAUCUUAUUUGUGAUUUAUUUAAUUUAUUGGACUUAUUCUGUGCUAAUUGACUCUCCGCCUAGAUAUAUUGUUCUGCCUUGUCUUUUAAAUGCAGUCGAAUGUGAGGUUCGGUCUUAUCUAAAGAUACUGAUGGGUCUGGGACAUAAUGGGGAAGAAAGAUCUCAUAUAUGAAUUAUUUAUUUCAUAGGAAUUAUUUUCCUUUUUUUUCUGUUCUAAUAAUACCCUCCCUGCCUGAUUGUUCCAUUUUGUCUUGUCCAUUGCAUGCAGUUGAAUGUGAGGUUUAUUGUCUUAUCUUAAAGCUACUGGUUGAGAUCGAUACAUAAUUGGGAAGAUAAUCUAAUUUAUAAUUUAUUUAAUUCAUAGAACUUUUUUAUUCCCGUAGUAUGUGCUUAUAUGCCUCUCCACCUGGAUGUUCUGCAGUUGGAUUUUAGGUUUAGAGUUUAAUCUGAAGCCAGUAAUGAGACGAAGAGAUAACGGGGAAGAUAACUAAUUUGUGAUUUGUUUAUUUCAUCGGACUUCUAUUCCGUCUUGUUUGCUUAUUCCCCCUCCCCCUACAUUUAUAUUUCAUUGUCUUGUCCAUUGCUUGCAGUUGUUCUGAUAGUGUCUUAACUUAAAGCUAUUGCUGGGAUCGAGACAUAUUGGGGAAGAUGAUCUAAUUUGUGGUUUAUUUGUUUCAUAUGAAUUCCAUCAACCUUUUUGUGUGCUAAUACCCCUCACUGUCUUGAUGUUUUAUAUCGUCUUGUCUGGUAAAUGCAGUUGGAUAUGAGGUUUAGAGUCUUGUUUUAAAAGCUGCUAAUGGGAUGGAUCCUUAAUGGGGAAGAAAUUAUAAUUUGUCAUCUAAUUUUAUUCGACUGUCAGUACUACGUGGACGAUUUAUUCUGUUUUAUUGGUUAAAUGCAGUUGGAUUUGCAGAGGUUUAGAGUCGUAAAACUAUGGGAUCGAGAAAAAAGGGGGAAGAUAACCUAAUUUGUGAUUUAUUUAUUCUGUGCUAAUCGUCAGCAUCUGGAUGUUUUAUUUUGUCUUGUUCAAUACAUGCAGUUGAAUUUGAUGGUUAGAGUCUUAUCUUAAAGCUACUGGUGGGGUCGAUACAUAAUGGGGAAGAAUAUCUAAUUUAUGAUUCAUUUAUUCCGUCGGAUUUUUAUUCCUUCUUGUUUGCUAAUUUCCCCUCCUUCCUGGAGAUUGUUUUGUCCAGCAUGCAGUUUGGUAUGGUGUUUCAAGUGUUACCUUAAAGCUAUUAAUGGGAUUCAACCAUAAUGGGGAAGAUGAUAUAGCUUGUGAAUUUAUUUAUUUCAUAGGUGGUGUUCUAUUAUCUUAUGUUUUAUUUCGUCAUGUCUGAUAAAUGCAGUUGGAUCGGAGGUUGAGAGUCUUAUCACUAAAGCUGCUGAUGGGGUUGAGACAUAAUGGGGAAGAUAAUAUAAUUUGUCAUCUCUUAUUUUGCAUUAAUACCCCUUUUGGACGUGGAUGUUUUAUUCUGUUUUAUGGGUUAAAUGCAGUUGGAUUGGAGGUUUAGAGUCAUAUCUUAGAGCUACGGGUCCGAAAAUUAACGGGGAAGAUAAUUUAAUUUGUGAUUUGUUUAAUUCCCUUUUCUGUGCUAAUAUCCCCUCCCCAACUAGAUGUGCAUUCUGUCUUGACAUUGCAUGCAGUUGAAUUUGAGAUAUAAAGUCUUAUCUUGAAGCUAUUGGCGGGGUACAUAUGUAAUAAGGAAGAUAAUCUAAAGACAUAAUGGGGAAGAUUACUAAUUUAUGAUUUAUUUAUUUCGUUUGUUUGCUAAUUCCCCCUCCCGAUCCGGAUAUUUCAUUAUCGUGUCCGUGAUUUGUUUAAUUCCCUUUUCUGUGCUAAUAUCCCCUCCCCAACUAGAUGUGCAUUCUGUCUUGACAUUGCAUGCAGUUGAAUUUGAGAUGUAAAGUCUUAUCUUGAAGCUAUUGGCGGGGUACAUAUGUAAUAAGGAAGAUAAUCUAAAGACAUAAUGGGGAAGAUUACUAAUUUGUGAUUUAUUUAUUUCGUUUGUUUGCUAAUUCCCCCUCCCGAUCCGGAUAUUUCAUUAUCGUGUCCGUGAUUUGUUUAAUUCCCUUUUCUGUGCUAAUAUCCCCUCCCCAACUAGAUGUGCAUUCUGUCUUGACAUUGCAUGCAGUUGAAUUUGAGAUAUAAAGUCUUAUCUUGAAGCUAUUGGCGGGGUACAUAUGUAAUAAGGAAGAUAAUCUAAAGACAUAAUGGGGAAGAUUACUAAUUUGUGAUUUAUUUAUUUCGUUUGUUUGCUAAUUCCCCCUCCCGAUCCGGAUAUUUCAUUAUCGUGUCCGUUGCUUGCAGUUGGAUCUGAGUUUAGUGUCUUACCUUAAAGCUAUUGUUGGGAUCGAGACAUGAUGGGGAAGAUCUAAUUUGUGAUUAUUUGUUUCCUAGUAAUUCCGUUACCUUUUUUGUCUGCUAAUACCCCUCACCACGUACAUGUUUUAUUUUGUCUUGUCUGGUAAAUGCAGUUGGACCUCAGGUUUAGAGUUUUAUCUUAAAAGCUGCUGAUAGGAUCGAGAUAUAAUGGGGGAAGAUAAUAUUCUGUGAUCUAUUUGUUCCAUAGUACUGCCAUUUUCAUAAUGUGUUCUAAUAUCCCAUACUACGUGAAUGUUGACUGGAUUUUUUUAUUCUGACUUGUUCGUUUGCAGUUCGAUCUGAGGUUUUUGAGAGUCUUAUUGGAAGUUACUGUUGGGUCGGGAAAUAAUGGGGAAGAUCUAGUUGAUUAUUUAUUUACUUCAUAGGACUUUCUUUUACCUUCUGUGGUAAUUUACAUCUGUUUCAUUUUGUCUUUGUACACAGUUGGAUUUGAGGUUGAGAGUCAUAACAUAAAGCUACAUAAUGGGGAAGAUGAUAUAUUUUGUGAUUUGCUUAUUUCAUAGUAUAUUUCUAUUACCUUGAGUGCUAAUAUCCUUCAGCACUUAGAUGUUUUUUCUCUAUCUUGUCUAUUAAAUGCAGUUGGAUCUGAGGUUAAAGUCUUGUCUAAAGCCACUAAUGGGAUCAAGGCACAACGGGGAAGAUAACUAAAUUUUGAUAUAUUUAUUUCCUAGGACUUACUAUUCCUUUGUGUGCUACUUCCCUCCUUCCUACCUCGAUGUUCCAUUUUGUCUAGUGCUUUCUGAUCUGUCAUUGAUUUCUAUUCUCUGCUUGAAACAAACGUGGGUUUGCUUACCGUUUGCAUUUGAAUGCUUGUAGCGUAAUUAAACUCAUCCAGGUUUAGGCAAUCUAUACUUCCUUUCUUAUGUGUUUCGGGUUACUAUGGUUUGUGGUUAUGGAACUUGCUCGCUGUUUUUGCAGAACCAUUGGGAGUGGUAAAAUAGUCUGAAGUUGGACUGUAUGAUCAAGGAUAAGGAUCUUUGCUUAAUGUGGUUUGUGUUCCAUAGCUUUCGGAUUUGGCAUAUUCAGGUUCCACAAGUCUGUUAUCCUUCUUCGCCAAUGAGUUCGAUUUCUAUGUUCUUCCGGUUUUUGGGCUUGCUCGCCAUUGAUUAUUUGUCUUCUGGAUUUCUCUGUUCAUCAUCUCUUCAUUAACCUGCAUAUUUUGUGAAGGUGAAAAUUCUGCUUCUGUUGUACUGUUGGGCCUUUCAGGUUAUGGUCUUAGCUUGCUCGUCUUCUUUUCUGAGGUUGUGUGGCUUUGAUUUAAGAUGUUUCUUGACCACUUGCUGCAGAUUCUAAGUGUGGUAGUAUCCUAAACUAAAUCUCACCUUGGUUACUAUAUUCUUUGUGGUUUCGGUUAACAUUUUGAAGGACUCUAUAUGGCCUACUCAAGCACAGUGCUGUUUUUCAACCUUCUCUCUUUUCUCUCUCUCCCCCGCCAAUCUGUUUUUCAAUAACGUGGCUACGGUUUUGCAAGUAGAGAUGUCGUAACUGUAAGUAUAUCAAACAUGCUUUCUGGUUUUCGAAUGUUGAUGGCUGCAGUUGUAUUUUUAUCAAAGUUUCUUGUGGCUGGGUAAUAGAGGUAAGGGAAUUGAGUUUUGUACUACGUGAACCUUCUCUCCAUGUUCUCUAGUUUGUUUUGGUUGUAUAUUUGUUGUUCAGCAAGACAAUCCAUACGUUCGACUUCGUCUUCCUAGUACCUCCUAGAGCUCCAGAUUGCUGAGGUCACGGUGUUAUGCUGGUUUCUCAAUUUUCUUAGCAGGAAUUAUAAGUCUUCAGUUAUCCCUAUCGUGAUCUCAUAUUAUACAGUAAUUUUCACGAGGCAAGUUAAGAAGAUAAAAUAAAACUGUCUCCAUCUGUCACUUCAUGAUUGGUAUUCUUUGGUUUCUUCACGGGCUUCCUGCACAGAGUAUUAUUUCUUGUCUUAGAUUUUGAAAGCCGUCUUAAGAGUGUCCGGAUGUUAUUUCAGUUUUUCUGGUAUUCUGCACCGGAAUUGUUUGUGCUUAGUUUUGAUCAGUUAAUGCACUACUGGUGUGGAACGUGCUUCUUCUGCAGAUCAAGUGAGUAGUAUUCUUUAUUGUGGCUUGAGAUCUCUUCGGUUUUGAUCCAUGUUUUUCAAAUAUUGAAGUGGUCUUCUAUUCAUGAGCAAGUUAAGGUUCAUGUGUGUUAUGCAUCUAUGAAGAUUUGGUUUUUUCCCUUUCGGUUUCUCUGCACAAUCUAAGUUGGCGCAGUCAAUCUCAGAAUAAUAAAUCUUGUUCAGUUGCGCCAUGUUGGAUUUCACACAUGUAGGAUUUGUUGAUGUUAUUGCUGCUACUACUGUUUUUUUGAGGAUGUUAAAAUCUAUCGAAUCUGCAUGGGGUAUACUACUGCACAGUUCUUGGUCAGUUCUUCAUCGUAAUUUGUACUCUGGGAAUUUUCUAGUGCGUGAAAUUGUCUUCUGCAGAUUGUAAGUUAAUGUUUUUGUCUAACACUAGUAAUAUGCUAAAGUGAUGCAUUUGUGAAUUCUCAAUGAAUUUAUUUGAUUAAGAUUUGUUUUUACGUAAAUGUGCAAGUAUCAGAUAUCUUAUUGAUAAAAGUUAUUUCCUCUUGGAUUCUACUCUGGUACGACUUUAGUAUUCUUUUCACACGAUAAUUUAAAGGAAAAAAAAGGAAAAUGAAUGAUUGGAACAAGUAGGAGGGUUUUUACUAGUAAAAUUGUUAUAUGCUUUUAUCCCAUCUACUAUACUUCGUGAUUUUAGCUACUAAGAGAUUAGUGGGAUGCCCUAUUUGUUAAUUUACUUAAAAGAUUGACCUACUUGUUUGCCAGUAUGAAGACUCUAUGUGCAUCAAACUAUUUUUCAGCCUUGAACUAUUUCUCAGCCUUAAUAUUAUCAAACUAUUUCUCAGCCUUAAUAUUUGUUGUCUGGAAUGGUACGUACAGGUUUCUUGCUUCAAUCUGUCUGUGAUUAUGUGAAUUAUGUGUGUGUUUAGUUGUAUAUAGGUUAAUUCUUGUAACUCCGCCUGUGCGGCAAUAUUUGCUCAGCACAGCCGGUCCCAAGCCCGGGUAAAGGAGGAGGGUCGAGAAAAUGGAACAGUCAAAUAUUAAUAAAAAUGGUUUUGAAGUAUUGCAAAUUCACUCUUCGAAGUUAUCUGGUGAAAGUGCAAUACGAUAAGAAUAGAAACAGUAGUUGACAUUGACAUUGAUAAACUGGAAGCCAAAUAAUCUUGGCGAAUUGCGUUCCUCUUAACUCUUUCUUUGCUGUUGUUUUGCUUGUUGGUUUCUAUCUUCGGUUGCUUAUUUUCCCAAACUUUUUAUUUACUGUAUUUUUGGUUUGGCCAUCAAUUAUCCCUAUCGUGAACUUCUCGAUACCAGGAUUGCGGGAACAGUUUUAGUACCUUAAUGUUUGGGUUUCUUAUCAAAAGGUUCCUGCACAGAGUGUUGAUUAGUACCUAAGUUUACGAAAGGAGUAGCAAAACACUUGGGAUGUUUUUUGAAAUGUUUUUUCCAAUUAUUUUUCACUUGAUUUCUUUUGAGCUUGUAGUUGGUCAGAUAACGCGUGCAUUUCUACUGCAGAUCAAGUGAGUAGUAUGCUUUAUUGUGGGCUCUCGAUGAUUUCGUGUAUACUUUGAAGAACUGGGUAUAUUUAGAUUUUGUUGAUCUUGUGAUUUCGGCCUUUGGAUUCUGCUUGCAUCUUGUGGGCUCUCGAUGAUUUCGGCCUUUGGAUUCUGCUUGCAUCUUGUGAUCGUUAUUAUCAUACGGUGUGGUGCUGCCAUGAGUGUUUGUGCUUUGGAGUACGAUCCUGGACUGUUACUGGUCAGUUCUGGGGUCCGUGGGAAGUUUCUAAUACAUAAAAUUUUCGAGUCUUGAUAAAUUUAUUGGAUUAAGAUUUGUUUCUGCCCAAAUGUAAGUGCAAGAUUUGAUAAAUAAAAAAAUUUGCUCUGGAAUUA
This is a non-coding RNA of Erythranthe guttata (spotted monkey flower), 9940 nucleotides long. The record is from RefSeq and is a predicted model, not a curated record. Lineage: Eukaryota; Viridiplantae; Streptophyta; Magnoliopsida; Lamiales; Phrymaceae.